UGGUGGUUCAGCAGUAGAAUUCUUGCCUUCCAUGUGAGAGACCUAGGUUCAAUUCCCAGCCA
Molecule: transfer RNA, 62 nt
Filed under: Loxodonta africana (African savanna elephant)
Lineage: Eukaryota; Metazoa; Chordata; Mammalia; Proboscidea; Elephantidae
Rfam family: tRNA
About the family: Transfer RNA (tRNA) molecules are approximately 80 nucleotides in length. Their secondary structure includes four short double-helical elements and three loops (D, anti-codon, and T loops).
Source: Rfam by way of RNAcentral